Molecule: ribosomal RNA, 467 nt
Filed under: uncultured bacterium
Lineage: Bacteria
Description: partial 16S ribosomal RNA
Rfam family: Bacterial small subunit ribosomal RNA
Source: RNAcentral
GACGAACGCUGGCGGCGUGCUUAACACAUGCAAGUCGAACGGAAAGGCCUCUUUCGGGGGGUACUCGAGUGGCGAACGGGUGAGUAACACGUGAGUAACCUGCCCUUGACUUUGGGAUAACUUCAGGAAACUGGGGCUAAUACCGGAUAGGAGCUCCUGCUGCAUGGUGGGGGUUGGAAAGUUUCGGCGGUUGGGGAUGGACUCGCGGCUUAUCAGCUUGUUGGUGGGGUAGUGGCUUACCAAGGCUUUGACGGGUAGCCGGCCUGAGAGGGUGACCGGCCACAUUGGGACUGAGAGACGGCCCAGACUCCUACGGGAGGCAGCAGUGGGGAAUAUUGCACAAUGGGUGGAAGCCUGAUGCAGCAACGCCGGGGGCGGGAUGACGGCCUUCGGGUUGGAAACCGCUUUCGCUCAUGACGAAGCUUUGUGUGACGGUAGUGGGUAAAGAAGCACCGGCUAACUACGUG